This 618-nucleotide long non-coding RNA is filed under the name Vitis vinifera (wine grape). Its description in RNAcentral is "long non-coding RNA (VVIN_LNC003405)". The record is from RNAcentral. Lineage: Eukaryota; Viridiplantae; Streptophyta; Magnoliopsida; Vitales; Vitaceae.
CACCACCGGUAUUAUCGCCCCCGCCUCCAGUUUAUUGCGUCCGUUCCCCACCACCGCCACCGCCAAAUUCUCCCCCGCCUCCCAUUUAUUCUCCACCACCACCUCCAGUUCAUUCACCGCCCCCACCAAGUCCUUACUAUAGUUCACCACCGCCCCCGCCGCCACAUCAUUCACCUCCACCACCUCCCCACUCGCCACCCCCGCCUCCACCUAUCUAUCCAUACGCAUCACCGCCACCGCCACCCGUGCAUUCCCCACCACCACCUGUCCAUUCUCCACCACCUCCAUGCAUAGAACCGCCUCCUCCUUCUCCACCACCCCCAUCACCACCUCCAUGCAUAGAACCGCCUCCUCCUCCUUCUCCACCACCAUGUGUAGAAUAUUCGCCACCUCCACCAUCACCACACUCACCACCGCCACCACCAGUUCAUUACUUGCCUCCACCAUCACCAUCACCCCCACCACCACCUGUGUAUGCUUCUCCGCCACCUCCACCAUCUCUGCCUCCCCCAGUUUACUACCAUUCUCCGCCCCCACCCUCACCACCUCCUCCAACCCCAUGUGAAAAUCCUCCACCUACUCCAUCACCACCGCCCCCAAUCAUUUAUGAGAGCCCAC